Molecule: long non-coding RNA, 538 nt
Filed under: Gallus gallus (chicken)
Lineage: Eukaryota; Metazoa; Chordata; Aves; Galliformes; Phasianidae
Description: lncRNA (ENSGALG00010007144.1)
Source: RNAcentral
UUUUUUUUUUUUUUUUUUUUUUUUUUGCUUUGUUUUAAAUCAAGCAGUCUUAGCUUAAAGUCCCUUUUGUAUUUUCACAGAAUCGAAGAAUCAUGAGGGUUGGAAGGGACCUCUGGAGAUCACCUAAUUCAACCCCGCUGCUAAAGCAGGUCUGAAAAGGUUUAUUUCCACAAUGGUCUCCUAGGAAUCAAGAAAUACUCCCCUGAUGACAACUGCUGACUUCCUUCGUUUUUCUUUUUGCCCUGUCUUGCUUUGUUUAACAAUAGCUUUUCAAAGCUAAAUGUGCACUUACAUAUACACUUUACUGUGAUGGAAACCUAGCUUAUCGAAGAACCUACAUUAUCCUCUGCUGUUAAUAUACCAAUAAAAUUCUGUUUCUCACACCAAAGUGGAUUCUGUUGCAUUUAAUACAAACUUUGGAAUUCAUAUCACAUAGCAGCCAUAACUAACCAUUAAUUUCUUUUCUUUCUGUUGCCAAGGACUUUGUAUUACUAAACCAAAUCAAAUAAUACCUAAGACAGACUUUCCCAAAUCCCGU